GACGAACGCUGGCGGCGUGCCUAACACAUGCAAGUCGAACGGAACUGUUUUGAAAGAUUUCUUCGGAAUGAAUUUGAUUUAGUUUAGUGGCGGACGGGUGAGUAACGCGUGAGUAACCUGCCUUCAAGAGGGGAAUAACAUUCUGAAAAGAAUGCUAAUACCGCAUGUCAUAUCGGAACCACAUGGUUUUGAUAUCAAAGAUUUUAUCGCUUGAAGAUGGACUCGCGUCCGAUUAGUUAGUUGGUGAGGUAACGGCUCACCAAGACCGCGAUCGGUAGCCGGACUGAGAGGUUGAACGGCCACAUUGGGACUGAGACACGGCCCAGACUCCUACGGGAGGCAGCAGUGGGGGAUAUUGCGCAAUGGGGGCAACCCUGACGCAGCAACGCCGCGUGAAGGAUGAAGGUUUUCGGAUUGUAAACUUCUUUUAUUAAGGACGAAAAAUGACGGUACUUAAUGAAUAAGCUCCGGCUAACUACGUG
This 482-nucleotide ribosomal RNA is filed under the name uncultured bacterium. RNAcentral describes it as "partial 16S ribosomal RNA". It matches the Rfam family "Bacterial small subunit ribosomal RNA", at positions 28 to 507 of the family's 1533-position model. The record is from RNAcentral.